RNAcentral lists this ribosomal RNA (243 nucleotides) under uncultured bacterium. RNAcentral's name for it is "partial 16S ribosomal RNA". It matches the Rfam family "Bacterial small subunit ribosomal RNA", at positions 976 to 1219 of the family's 1533-position model. The record is from RNAcentral.
AAGGCUUGACAUACACCGGAAACUUCCAGAGAUGGUUGCCCCGCAAGGUCGGUGUACAGGUGGUGCAUGGUUGUCGUCAGCUCGUGUCGUGAGAUGUUGGGUUAAGUCCCGCAACGAGCGCAACCCUCGUCCCAUGUUGCCAGCGGGUUAUGCCGGGGACUCAUGGGAGACUGCCGGGGUCAACUCGGAGGAAGGUGGGGAUGACGUCAAAUCAUCAUGCCCCUUAUGUCUUGGGCUUCACCG